This is a long non-coding RNA of Helianthus annuus (common sunflower), 1457 nucleotides long. RefSeq lists it as uncharacterized. The record is from RefSeq and is a predicted model, not a curated record. The transcript has 3 exons. NCBI's taxonomy places the organism in Eukaryota, Viridiplantae, Streptophyta, Magnoliopsida, Asterales, Asteraceae.
UGUAAAGGGGUGCGGCCAGGAGAAGGGGGAAAAGAACGAACCCUAGUUCUUGAUCAUUCCUACAAGAUUCAUCAAAUUCAGCCUUAAGUUUAAGUGAUUCUAAUGCAUGCUUGAUAAAUUAGAGUCUACAAAUUCAUCUCAUCAUAAGGUAUGUUGAUAAUCUAGUGUAUGAAGAUGUAGUGAUUCCUGAUGAACCUUAUGAGGUAUAACUAAAGUAGAAAUUGUUGGAAAUUUUGAUAGAAAUUGUAGUGUCUAUAUGAUUCUAGACAAACCUUUGAUGAAUAAAGGUAGAAUAAACACUAUGAUUAAGUAAUAGGAUAAUUUGCACUAGUAUGUGUAAGUGGGUUUUGUCAUAUGAUUUGAAUCCAUGAAGUAGGAGGGUUAAAUUGGGUAUAUGAACUCAUAACAAACUUAAAAUUUGAUGUUAAGGCAAUCAUAACAAAUAUACCUUCUUGUUAAUAAGAAUGUAUGGUUAGAGAGAUGUCCAAUUAUAACACCCCAAAUUUGGUUAUAUUUAUUUAAUGUGAUCAUGACUGUAUAAGCUUGUAUUGUCAUAUCAUUGAUUUGAUGAUACUUAAUAGCGUGUGGUUGAUGAAUAGCCUUACUAUUAGUUUUGCGUCAUGUGAUCCCUAAAAGGUUAAUGAUCAUUUGUUAUGAUUAUAUGAAUUAAAAACAUGACAUUUAUAGUCAAUUGAAUUUAUGAUAGUUUUUUUAAGAUGUGGUUUGUUAGCAAAUCUAACUUGUUUAAAAGAAAAGUUAUAUUACAAAGUUUGGGGUUUAUUAGGGAAUUGAACAAAAACUAUAAUACACGGUAUGUAAGAAAUAAAAUAUGAGGAGUGUUAAGUGGCUAUGAGCCAAACUUAAUUAAUUACCUGGACACCAAAUUGGAAGCCACAUUUACAUCUUGAAGGAUUUGGAAGUCUUGAAUUGAGACUAUGGCCGACAUGAGAAAAAGAGGAGGAACAAAAUUGGUUUCUUGAUUCUACAUCCCAGCAAGUUAAUCCUCAAAUUCUUUAACGGGUAUGCUCAUCUAAAGACAAUGAAGUGAACUCUUUUAAAGUGGGAUGUAUGAAAUCACAAUCCAAAUAUAUAUAUGAAGAGUUAGAGAUCAGUGAUUGAGGAUUUCAAUCAAGGAGACGAAGAUUCUAGUGGCAAAGGAUCACGUGGCCAAGUGCAGCUUUUUGAUUAGUAGUUCUUCCACUGACGAAAUUAGUAUUGGUGUCGUCGUGCCCACUCAUAUUUUCCAAAGGUCUUGCCUUGAAAUUCGAGUGUGAUAUACAUCGACGUCUAUGGACGUAUAAUUUAAGUUUCAUGUGUUUUCUGGUGUACUAGCACAACUUUACAUGCUUCUUACGUGCGUUAAUAAUUUAUGGUAACGUAUUGGAAAUUCUUAUACUUUUGAUGGUGUCCCAACUUAAAGGGUUUUCCAUUGUUUAUAUUGUCGCAUGAGUUACGAG